RNAcentral lists this ribosomal RNA (459 nucleotides) under uncultured bacterium. RNAcentral's name for it is "partial 16S ribosomal RNA". It matches the Rfam family "Bacterial small subunit ribosomal RNA", at positions 338 to 795 of the family's 1533-position model. The record is from RNAcentral.
CCUACGGGAGGCAGCAGUGAGGAAUAUUGGUCAAUGGGCGCAAGCCUGAACCAGCCAAGUCGCGUGAGGGAAGACGGUCCUAUGGAUUGUAAACCUCUUUUGUCGGGGAGCAAAAGACGCCACGCGUGGCGUUCCGCGAGUACCCGAAGAAAAAGCAUCGGCUAACUCCGUGCCAGCAGCCGCGGUAAUACGGAGGAUGCGAGCGUUAUCCGGGUUUAUUGGGUUUAAAGGGUGCGCAGGCGGAAGAUCAAGUCAGCGGUAAAAUUGAGAGGCUCAACCUCUUCGAGCCGUUGAAACUGGUUGUCUUGAGUGAGCGAGAGGUAUGCGGAAUGCGUGGUGUAGCGGUGAAAUGCUUAGAUAUCACGCAGAACUCCGAUUGCGAAGGCAGCAUACCGGCGCUCAACUGACGCUCAUGCACGAAAGUGUGGGUAUCGAACAGGAUUAGAUACCCUUGUAGUC